Molecule: ribosomal RNA, 455 nt
Filed under: uncultured bacterium
Lineage: Bacteria
Description: bacterial SSU rRNA
Rfam family: Bacterial small subunit ribosomal RNA
Source: RNAcentral
UACGGAAGGCAGCAGUGGGGAAUAUUGCACAAUGGGCGCAAGCCUGAUGCAGCCAUGCCGCGUGUAUGAAGAAGGCCUUCGGGUUGUAAAGUACUUUCAGCGGGGAGGAAGGCGGUGAAGUUAAUAGCUUCACCGAUUGACGUUACCCGCAGAAGAAGCACCGGCUAACUCCGUGCCAGCAGCCGCGGUAAUACGGAGGGUGCAAGCGUUAAUCGGAAUUACUGGGCGUAAAGCGCACGCAGGCGGUCUGUCAAGUCGGAUGUGAAAUCCCCGGGCUUAACCUGGGAACUGCAUUCGAAACUGGCAGGCUAGAGUCUUGUAGAGGGGGUAGAAUUCCAGGUGUAGCGGUGAAAUGCGUAGAGAUCUGGAGGAAUACCGGUGGCGAAGGCGGCCCCUGGACAAAGACUGACGCUCAGGGUGCGAAAGCGUGGGGAGCGAAACAGGAUUAGGAUACC